This 380-nucleotide unclassified non-coding RNA is filed under the name soil metagenome. RNAcentral describes it as "partial contains 5.8S ribosomal RNA, internal transcribed spacer 2, and large subunit ribosomal RNA". The stretch from base 1 to 118 matches the Rfam family "5.8S ribosomal RNA", at positions 35 to 154 of the family's 154-position model. The record is from RNAcentral.
GAUGAAGAACGUAGCGAAACGCGAAAGGUAAUGCGAAUUGCAGAUCAGUGAGUCAUCGAAUAUUUGAACGCACAUUGCGCCUCUCGGUAUUCCGGGAGGCACGCCUGUUCGAGCGCCAUUACACCGUCCAAGCUGCGGCUUGAUGUUGGGCGAGGCUGCGGUCCGAGAGGACGGGCGGCGCGCCUGGAAGGUAUGGGCGGCGGUGGCCAGACCGCGAGCGUAGCAAGACGAGAGUCACCCGCGCGGACGGAUCUGGCGGACGCGUGUCGAGAAGUCGAGGAUGCGAGGGCGACCGCGCAAAGACGACGAAACACACACAAGUUUGGCCUCGGAUCAGGCGGGGAUACCCGCUGAACUUAAGCAUAUCAAUAAGCGGAGGA